RNAcentral lists this ribosomal RNA (207 nucleotides) under uncultured bacterium. RNAcentral describes it as "partial 16S ribosomal RNA". It matches the Rfam family "Bacterial small subunit ribosomal RNA", at positions 568 to 774 of the family's 1533-position model. The record is from RNAcentral.
CUCGUAGGCGGUUCCGUAAGUCAGGUGUGAAAAAUCUGGGCUCAACCCAGUGGAGCACCUGAUACUGCGGUGACUCGAGUCCGGUAGGGGAGUGUGGAAUUCCUGGUGUAGCGGUGAAAUGCGCAGAUAUCAGGAGGAACACCGACGGCGAAGGCAGCACUCUGGGCCGGUACUGACGCUGAGGAGCGAAAGCAUGGGGAGCGAACA